AAACAAAUAUUUUUAUACCGAGACGAGCUGUUGCCCAGUGGUAAAUCUUCUAGGUACAUGUGUUAGCUUCGAGGCACAUCGGAAGAAAUCUCUUCUUCAAAAAAAUAAAUUUAACCUGCUGUGGGUCUUCUUUCUGGGAGAUGUAGCGCAUUUGGGUUUGAGAUUCGAGAUAUUCACACAUAAAAAAAACAAAUAUUUUGUAACCAUAAAAUUUAUACAUUUAUAAAUUUUAACUUAAUGAACUGUAUGUUAUUGUUCCUAUAUUAUUAAACGGUUAAAUUCAAAUAUAGCAAU
This 294-nucleotide small RNA is filed under the name Arabidopsis thaliana (thale cress). RNAcentral's name for it is "ATSL154590". The record is from RNAcentral. Lineage: Eukaryota; Viridiplantae; Streptophyta; Magnoliopsida; Brassicales; Brassicaceae.